This 2443-nucleotide long non-coding RNA is filed under the name Homo sapiens (human). RNAcentral describes it as "sciatic injury induced lincRNA upregulator of SOX11". The record is from RNAcentral. Lineage: Eukaryota; Metazoa; Chordata; Mammalia; Primates; Hominidae.
GGCAGUGCCAAGCACCCCUGGCAGCCCUGCAGAGGGUUCUCAAAUCCAGAUUUCAUUCUGCAGUCCCGGCAGUGUUUUGACGACUGCCUCACUAAAGGAAGCUAAAAGCUGUGCUGAUGCCUCCCAGACGAGCCUCGUUGGAAGCACAGAACCUUCACGGCUCGGAGCCGCUGACACCGUGACAAAGGGAGCCCUGCUCAGGAGAAAGAGCAAAUGAGAGGCAGUUGCACUUUUUCAGGUGUCAGGCUGGAGGAAGCCACUUGAAGAUGAAUCUACCUCUGCCUUAGGAUUGCCUGAUGGCCUGUGCCAUUCCAUGUUAUAUCUACUGAUUUGCUCCCUGUAUUCAAAGAUUUUUUUUUUUUACUUAAUUCUCUCUUACUGACCCUGAGAGUGACCAUAUUUUUAACCAAUUUGGUCUUCAGCCUCAAAACUUAGCUCUUUCCUUUUGUGGUCCCCGAAUCCUAUCACGUGUCAUGGUGGCUGUGAAGAUGUUUGCCAAGCCUGCUGAGAAGGCUCAUCUGUGGCAUCCAAAAGCAGAGAUUUCAACUCUGGACCCCUGUGACCUGCCUUUGUAAUUAUGGAUACCCAGCACUGUUUUGAAAUAUCAGUGGACAUCCAGUUUUUAAAAGCCCUCAGAGCUUUGGGAGACACCCCUUUAUCUCUCUGGCAUGUCAGAGAACCGAUUCAACCCUUCUCAUCUCCUCCUCCUUCCCUCUCUUGGGCCAUCAGGAUGCGGCAGCAACUCACUGUGCAUGUUUUUACAGCUCUUCUCCAGUAAUGCUGCCAUUUCCACUGCAGACCACAGGAUAAAAGGACCGCUUCACCGUGGCCCAGGAUACCCUUUUAAGUAGGAGGCUCAGUUGGAUCUCCAAGUGGCGGUACCGUUCUCUCCACUUCAAAAAUACACAGAAACAUGUGGAAAUGUUCUGUCAUCCAGAAUGAAAAGCAUGUGCACCAAAUUUUCACAGACCUGAUUCGAAUGUAGAUAAAAGUGCAAAAUCCAGAGGAGGGAACACGCUAUAGAAAUCCUGUCUUCUAUACUAUAAUUUAAUCAUCGUGUGCCACAGAAUGUCUUUGCAUAAAUUACAACCACAAUAAUAGCAUCACUUUCACAAAAGGUGGCCUCUAAUCGAUUUGACUCUCCAAGAGAUGGCUGGGUUUUUCAAAGCAGAGAAAUGAUGACCUGCAGUCUUAAAGAGCUGUUGAUUGCACCUGGGGCUCCCGUGGCCGGCGCCCAUCGAGCAGCCCAUCCUGGCUGUUCCCUUGUUCAGCUGAUUUUCUUUUUUAUCUUGACAUUUGCUAACCGCUUGGUUUUUAUUUUCCGGGAAGAGAGGAUUAUUGGCAACUGGCACCACCCCCAUGUCUGGAGGAGGGACGUUUCUAGGAUGACCCCCAGAGUGGAGAAAUAGCCGAGCUCAUGAGGCAACCCACACAGGCAGGCUGGAGAGGAGUGGCAAGAAGCUCACCUUCGGACAGUAGUGAGCAGAGCAACAGAGGCCCCCAGAGACUUCGCACAACGGAAAAGAGAUCAACUCCCGCAUUUGCAGGGGACGUGAAAGUGCAAUACUGUGAGGAACAAAAGGAAGCCUCAUCUCUGGAAGCCGGGAGGAAAAACAGUCGGUGUAGACAGCAGCGGCAGGGACCAGAGCUGACCAGAAGGCUGGGUCCCAGCAACAAUUAGAGACAGGCAGCAGCUGAGGCCCCUUCUCUGAGAACCAUUUCAAUUGCACAGUGGCCACAGAAGGCUCCAUUGGCCCGGCAGCCAGCUCUGCAGAGCCAUUUGUCCACAAGGAAAAUAAUAGCCCCGGCCUCAUUGCUUUGGGCUGCAGGGAGGACAAUGACCCACCAUGAAAAGAGUUAAAAAGAUUCUGGGGAAGGGGAAAGGCAGGCCCACACGGUGGCAAUUCAAGAUCUUUUGGAUGCCGUGAGCGUGUUCUUUAAUUAAGCCCCUCUUCUUCAGCUCAUCCUGCAGAAACGCACCUGCUUCCCAUCUGCCAUCCAAAACGGCAAGCACAAGAAUGACUUCACACUGUCACUUUCAGAGUUCCGCUGUGGCCCACAGUGAUUUUUCAAGAAAGGCAGCCACAGACUCGCUCGCGCUUUCUCUUUCUCCUUUCCUCUGAAAGACUCUAUAAAAACCACAUUAAAAAGUGUGUGAGCCAAGCAAUUUCAUUUAUCAAAGGAAGAAGGUCAUCCAUAGCAUUCAUUCUAAGAAUAUCAGGCACACGGCCAGCCCUGGACACAAGGCAUGAAGACCAGAGGGCCCUUUAUUGACCUAAUCUCUAUUUUGUCGCCAAACUGCAUCUGUGUCUGAAAGCUGGGACACACAAUAUUUCCCUCUACCAAAAUAAUUUUAUUUUCUGCAGCAGCAUGUAACAAACAAUUAAUGGUGGUAACAUGGGCUUCUGUCAUUUUCUGAACAACCCAGUUCUGUUUGGUGUUA